UACGGAGGGGGCUAGCGUUGUUCGGAAUUACUGGGCGUAAAGGGCGCGUAGGCGGUCUUGUAAGUCCUGUGUGAAAUCCCUCGGCUCAACUGAGGAACUGCACGGGAAACUGCUUGGGCUUGAGUUCGGGAGAGGGAAGCGGAAUUCCGGGUGUAGCGGUGAGAUGCGUAGAUAUCCGGAGGAACACCGGUGGCGAAGGCGGCUUCCUGGACCGACACUGACGCUGAGGCGCGAAAGCUAGGGGAGCAAACGG
RNAcentral lists this ribosomal RNA (253 nucleotides) under uncultured bacterium. RNAcentral describes it as "partial 16S ribosomal RNA". It matches the Rfam family "Bacterial small subunit ribosomal RNA", at positions 524 to 775 of the family's 1533-position model. The record is from RNAcentral.